Glycine soja is the source of this 667-nucleotide long non-coding RNA. RefSeq lists it as uncharacterized. The record is from RefSeq and is a predicted model, not a curated record. NCBI's taxonomy places the organism in Eukaryota, Viridiplantae, Streptophyta, Magnoliopsida, Fabales, Fabaceae. The transcript has 2 exons.
GUGAGGCAUUGUAAAUUUCUGAUAAUAUUUCCAAUUCUUAUAAUAAUAAAAAUAAAGCAAAACAUUAAAAAAAAAAAAAAACGAAAAGAAUCCCAAUUGGGGUUAUGUGUGUGGGAUUAGUUUGGAUUUUCCGUGGCUCCCUUGGCUUAGGCGUAGCUUUUGGGUUAUUCAGCAAUAGCCGAGGUGAGGUGAAGAUCGGAACCCUCCGCUCUCUGCUCUGCAAUGGCCAAGAUCGAAGAACUGAACGACUCGGUUGCCAAAUCUAAGAAUAAAAGGAAUCAUGGCUCUACAAUGUUCUUUGUCAUUGUUGAUUACCUUUUUAUUUUGAUCUUCCUGGGAUUCCUCUGCUUCAUCGUUUUCAAAAUUCUCAGCAUUUGAUUCGAUUCCCGAAAUCACACAAUCCACCGUGUGUUAUGUGCUAGGAUAUUCGCAUGACAUAGCUAGGCUUCACAAGCCUAGUUCCAAGCUUGAAGGCUGCGGCAACUAGCAAGUGUCAUUUUUAAUCAGAUCCUAUGAUGUAAUACUUGAAUUUACCAUCUUUCUCAACUUUUGUUCUCGAAUUCCAAAAUUUACACUACUCAUUUCCCCCGUUAGUUUUCUUUCAUUAGUGUCUUGUGUAUUACAUUUGAUCUUUUAACAUGUCCUUUUCCACUUUCAUUUCCUUUUA